UACAGAGGUGGCAAGCGUUGUUCGGAAUUACUGGGCGUAAAGGGCGCGUAGGCGGCCAACUAAGUCGGAUGUGAAAUCCCCAGGCUCAACUUGGGAACUGCAUCCGAUACUGGUCGGCUUGAAUCCGGGAGAGGGAUGCAGAAUUCCAGGUGUAGCGGUGAAAUGCGUAGAUAUCUGGAGGAAUACCGGUGGCGAAGGCGGCAUCCUGGACCGGCAUUGACGCUGAUGUGCGAAAGCCAGGGGAGCAAACGGG
RNAcentral lists this ribosomal RNA (253 nucleotides) under uncultured bacterium. RNAcentral's name for it is "partial 16S ribosomal RNA". It matches the Rfam family "Bacterial small subunit ribosomal RNA", at positions 524 to 776 of the family's 1533-position model. The record is from RNAcentral.